Molecule: ribosomal RNA, 253 nt
Filed under: uncultured bacterium
Lineage: Bacteria
Description: partial 16S ribosomal RNA
Rfam family: Bacterial small subunit ribosomal RNA
Source: RNAcentral
UACAGAGGGUGCAAGCGUUGUUCGGAAUUAUUGGGCGUAAAGGGCGUGUAGGCGGUUCGUUAAGUCUUCUGUGAAAUCUACGGGCUUAGCCUGUAACGUGCAGAGGAAACUAGCGGGCUUGAGUGUCGGAGAGGAUAGGGGAAUACCCAGUGUAGAGGUGAAAUUCGUAGAGAUUGGGUGGAACACCAGUGGCGAAGGCGCCUAUCUGGCUGACAACUGACGCUGAGACUCGAAAGCAUGGGGAGCAAACAGG